Molecule: transfer RNA, 72 nt
Filed under: Dendrotrophe varians
Lineage: Eukaryota; Viridiplantae; Streptophyta; Magnoliopsida; Santalales; Amphorogynaceae
Also listed under: 3 other names
Description: tRNA-Gly
Rfam family: tRNA
About the family: Transfer RNA (tRNA) molecules are approximately 80 nucleotides in length. Their secondary structure includes four short double-helical elements and three loops (D, anti-codon, and T loops).
Source: RNAcentral
GCGGAUAUAGUUUAGUGGUAAAACCCUCAGCCUUCCAAGCUAAUGAUGCGGGUUCGAUUCCCGCUAUCCGCU